Molecule: ribosomal RNA, 376 nt
Filed under: Metaphire sieboldi (earthworm)
Lineage: Eukaryota; Metazoa; Annelida; Clitellata; Crassiclitellata; Megascolecidae
Description: partial 16S ribosomal RNA
Rfam family: Bacterial large subunit ribosomal RNA
Source: RNAcentral
AACGGCCGCGGUAUCCUAACCGUGCAAAGGUAGCAUAAUCACUUGCCUAUUAAUUGUAGGCUAGAAUGAAUGGGUUAACGAAAUAAAGACUGUCUCAAUUAAUCACCUAAAAAUUAAUAUCUACCUGAAGAAGGGUAAAUAACCUCGAAGGACAAGAAGACCCUAUAGAGCUUAAUUUUAAUUAUAGAACUAUGCUAUAAAAAUAUUCGGUUGGGGCGACCCAGGGCUAAUCAAUCACCCACUACAUAAAAGAUAAAUUAAUCAAAUAAUUGACCCCUAAAAGAUCAUAAGAACAAGCUACCUUAGGGAUAACAGGCUAAUCCCACUCAAGAGUCCUUAUCAACAGUGGGGUUUGGCACCUCGAUGUUGGCUUAGG